AUCCUUGAAAACGGGUACCCCGUU
RNAcentral lists this unclassified non-coding RNA (24 nucleotides) under Chlamydomonas reinhardtii. Its description in RNAcentral is "small RNA Cre_0702". Lineage: Eukaryota; Viridiplantae; Chlorophyta; Chlorophyceae; Chlamydomonadales; Chlamydomonadaceae. The record is from RNAcentral.